Molecule: ribosomal RNA, 265 nt
Filed under: uncultured bacterium
Lineage: Bacteria
Description: partial 16S ribosomal RNA
Rfam family: Bacterial small subunit ribosomal RNA
Source: RNAcentral
CCUGCGACCGGCGGACGGGUGCGUAACGCGUAUGUAACCUACCUUUGACAGGGGGAUAACAUCGAGAAAUUGGUACUAAUACCCCAUAACAUCACCGGAGGCAUCUUCGGUGGUUGAAAACUCAGGUGGUCAGAGAUGGACAUGCGUUGUAUUAGCUAGUUGGUGAGGUAACGGCUCACCAAGGCGACGAUACAUAGGGGGACUGAGAGGUCAACCCCCCACAUUGGUACUGAGACACGGACCAAACUCCUACGGAAGGCAGCAG